UGACGGGGGCGAGAGCGAGUUUCCUCUA
RNAcentral lists this small RNA (28 nucleotides) under Bombyx mori (domestic silkworm). RNAcentral's name for it is "ovarian small RNA-31768". The record is from RNAcentral. Lineage: Eukaryota; Metazoa; Arthropoda; Insecta; Lepidoptera; Bombycidae.